UACAGAGGGGGCAAGCGUUGUUCGGAAUUACUGGGCGUAAAGCGUGCGCAGGCGGUCCGCAAAGUCUGAUGUGAAAGCCCCGGGCUCAACCUGGGAACUGCAUUGGAAACUAACGGGCUCGAGUGUGGCAGAGGGGGGUGGAAUUCCACGUGUAGCAGUGAAAUGCGUAGAGAUGUGGAGGAACACCGAUGGCGAAGGCAGCCCCCUGGGCUAACACUGACGCUCAGGCACGAAAGCGUGGGGAGCAAACAGG
This 253-nucleotide ribosomal RNA is filed under the name uncultured bacterium. RNAcentral's name for it is "partial 16S ribosomal RNA". It matches the Rfam family "Bacterial small subunit ribosomal RNA", at positions 524 to 776 of the family's 1533-position model. The record is from RNAcentral.